This 374-nucleotide unclassified non-coding RNA is filed under the name plant metagenome. RNAcentral's name for it is "partial contains 5.8S ribosomal RNA, internal transcribed spacer 2, and large subunit ribosomal RNA". The stretch from base 1 to 105 matches the Rfam family "5.8S ribosomal RNA", at positions 50 to 154 of the family's 154-position model. The record is from RNAcentral.
GAAAUGCGAUAAGUAGUGUGAAUUGCAGAAUUCAGUGAAUCAUCGAAUCUUUGAACGCACAUUGCGCCCCUUGGUAUUCCAUGGGGCAUGCCUGUUCGAGCGUCAUUUGUACCCUCAAGCUCUGCUUGGUGUUGGGUGUUUGUCCCCGUCUCCGCGCGUGGACUCGCCCCAAAGUGAUUGGCAGCCGGCGUACUGGUCCCGGAGCGCAGCACAUGUCGCGCAAACGAGUGCCUUGGUACGGCGGCGUCGACCCGAUGAGCCCGAGCGUAUGGGGACUUUUGUCACACGUUUGCGGUGCGGACCGGCGCCUGCUUGACUUUUCUGAUUAUCCAGGUUGACCUCGGAUCAGGUAGGGAUACCCGCUGAACUUAAGC